Molecule: ribosomal RNA, 301 nt
Filed under: uncultured bacterium
Lineage: Bacteria
Description: partial 16S ribosomal RNA
Rfam family: Bacterial small subunit ribosomal RNA
Source: RNAcentral
CAGUAGCCGCGGUAAUACGAAGGGGGCUAGCGUUGCUCGGAAUCACUGGGCGUAAAGGAUGCGUAGGCGGGUCUUUAAGUCAGAGGUGAAAUCCUGGAGCUCAACUCCAGAACUGCCUUUGAUACUGGAGAUCUCGAGUUCGGGAGAGGUGAGUGGAACUGCGAGUGUAGAGGUGAAAUUCGUAGAUAUUCGCAAGAACACCAGUGGCGAAGGCGGCUCACUGGCCCGAUACUGACGCUGAGGCACGAAAGCGUGGGGAGCAAACAGGAUUAGAUACCCCAGUAGUCCCUGUCUCUUAUAA